AUGCAAGUCGAACGAUGACCCACUUCGGUGGGGAUUAGUGGCGAACGGGUGAGUAACACGUGGGCAAUCUGCCCUGCACUCUGGGACAAGCCCUGGAAACGGGGUCUAAUACCGGAUACUGACCCGCUUGGGCAUCCAAGCGGUUCGAAAGCUCCGGCGGUGCAGGAUGAGCCCGCGGCCUAUCAGCUUGUUGGUGAGGUAGUGGCUCACCAAGGCGACGACGGGUAGCCGGCCUGAGAGGGCGACCGGCCACACUGGGACUGAGACACGGCCCAGACUCCUACGGGAGGCAGCAGUGGGGAAUAUUGCACAAUGGGCGAAAGCCUGAUGCAGCGACGCCGCGUGAGGGAUGACGGCCUUCGGGUUGUAAACCUCUUUCAGCAGGGAAGAAGCGAAAGUGACGGUACCUGCAGAAGAAGCGCCGGCUAACUACGUGCCAGCAGCCGCGGUAAUACGUAGGGCGCGAGCGUUGUCCGGAAUUAUUGGGCGUAAAGAGCUCGUAGGCGGCUUGUCACGUCGGUUGUGAAAGCCCGGGGCUUAACCCCGGGUCUGCAGUCGAUACGGGCAGGCUAGAGUUCUGUACGGGAGAUCGGAAUUCCUGGUGUAUCGGUGAAAUGCGCAUAUAUCAGGAGGAACACCGUUGGCGAAGGCGAAUCUCUGGAUCGAUACUGACUCUGAGGA
RNAcentral lists this ribosomal RNA (681 nucleotides) under Streptomyces sp. BEE12H13. RNAcentral's name for it is "bacterial SSU rRNA". It matches the Rfam family "Bacterial small subunit ribosomal RNA", at positions 55 to 752 of the family's 1533-position model. Lineage: Bacteria; Bacillati; Actinomycetota; Actinomycetes; Kitasatosporales; Streptomycetaceae. The record is from RNAcentral.